This 254-nucleotide ribosomal RNA is filed under the name uncultured bacterium. Its description in RNAcentral is "partial 16S ribosomal RNA". It matches the Rfam family "Bacterial small subunit ribosomal RNA", at positions 524 to 776 of the family's 1533-position model. The record is from RNAcentral.
UACGAAGGGGGCUAGCGUUGCUCGGAAUCACUGGGCGUAAAGCGCACGUAGGCGGACUCUUAAGUCGGUGGUGAAAUCCUGGAGCUCAACUCCAGAACUGCCUUUGAUACUGAGGAUCUUGAGUUCGGGAGAGGUGAGUGGAACUGCGAGUGUAGAGGUGAAAUUCGUAGAUAUUCGGAAGAACACCAGUGGCGAAGGCGACACACUGGCCCGUUACUGACGCUGAGACGCGAAAGCGUGGGGAGGCAAACAGG